RNAcentral lists this ribosomal RNA (253 nucleotides) under uncultured bacterium. RNAcentral describes it as "partial 16S ribosomal RNA". It matches the Rfam family "Bacterial small subunit ribosomal RNA", at positions 524 to 776 of the family's 1533-position model. The record is from RNAcentral.
UACGUAGGGUGCGAGCGUUAAUCGGAAUUACUGGGCGUAAAGUGUGCGCAGGCGGCAGAGCAGGUCGAGUGUGAAAGCCCCGAGCUUAACUUGGGAACUGCGCUCGAAACUACUUGGCUAGAGUGUGGCAGAGGGAGGUGGAAUUCCACGUGUAGCGGUGAAAUGCGUAGAGAUGUGGAGGAACACCGAUGGCGAAGGCAGCCUCCUGGGCCAACACUGACGCUCAUGCACGAAAGCGUGGGGAGCAAACAGG